RNAcentral lists this ribosomal RNA (497 nucleotides) under uncultured bacterium. Its description in RNAcentral is "partial 16S ribosomal RNA". It matches the Rfam family "Bacterial small subunit ribosomal RNA", at positions 28 to 507 of the family's 1533-position model. The record is from RNAcentral.
GAUGAACGCUGGCGGCGUGCCUAAUACAUGCAAGUCGAGCGAACAGACGAGGAGCUUGCUCCUCUGACGUUAGCGGCGGACGGGUGAGUAACACGUGGAUAACCUACCUAUAAGACUGGGAUAACUUCGGGAAACCGGAGCUAAUACCGGAUAAUAUAUUGAACCGCAUGGUUCAAUAGUGAAAGACGGUUUUGCUGUCACUUAUAGACGGAUCCGCGCCGCAUUAGCUAGUUGGUAAGGUAACGGCUUACCAAGGCAACGAUGCGUAGCCGACCUGAGAGGGUGAUCGGCCACACUGGAACUGAGGCACGGUCCAGACUCCUACGGGAGGCAGCAGUAGGGAAUCUUCCGCAAUGGGCGAAAGCCUGACGGAGCAACGCCGCGUGAGUGAUGAAGGUCUUCGGAUCGUAAAACUCUGUUAUUAGGGAAGAACAAAUGUGUAAGUAACUAUGCACGUCUUGACGGUACCUAAUCAGAAAGCCACGGCUAACUACGUG